Molecule: long non-coding RNA, 603 nt
Filed under: Pan troglodytes (chimpanzee)
Lineage: Eukaryota; Metazoa; Chordata; Mammalia; Primates; Hominidae
Description: lincRNA
Source: RNAcentral
CAUGUUAGCCAGGAUGGUCUUGAUUUUCUGACCUUGUAAUCCGGCUGCCUCAGCCUCCCAAAGUGCUGGGAUUACAAGCGUGAGCCACUGCGCCCGGCCUAGUUGAGGAGUAAAUGGACUGGAUUAAAGUUAAACCAUAACCCCAAAUUCAGGUUCUUACUAAACCUCUUCAAAGAAAUGGCAGCAUGAUGAGCUUUGAAAAUGUGAAAGAAAAGAGCAGAGAAGGAGGGCCCCAUGCACACACACCCGAAGAAGAAUUGUGUUUCAUGGUAACACACUACCCUCAGGUUCAGACCACACUCAACCUGUUUUUCCAUAUAUUCAAGGUUCUUACUCAACCACUUUCCCUUCUGUGGGGUUGUGAUCAGAAGCCUCUUACUGUUCCUACCCUUGGAAAUGGCGCAUGGGAUACCUGCCAACAACACAUACGCACUUCAUCAUGGACAGCAAACACACUCGUCAUUCAAAACCAGCAUUCACAGGAAAGCACCGUGUCUGUUUGCCUUUUUAUGUUAAUCCGCAUGCAACAUAUUUUGAAAACAGAUACACUUCAACAGUUCAGAAUAUGCUAGUACUAAUAAAACCAACAUGUUAAAUGCUGAA